CCUACGGGUGGCAGCAGUGGGGGAUAUUGCACAAUGGGGGAAACCCUGAUGCAGCGACGCCGCGUGUGGGAAGACGGUCCUCUGGAUUGUAAACCACUGUCCCCAGGGACGAAGAUGACGGUACCUGGGGAGGAAGCUCCGGCUAACUACGUGCCAGCAGCCGCGGUAAUACGUAGGGAGCGAGCGUUGUCCGGAAUUACUGGGUGUAAAGGGAGCGUAGGCGGGACUGCAAGUUGGGUGUCAAAUCUACCGGCUCAACCGGUAGCCGCACUCGAAACUGCAGUUCUUGAGUGAAGUAGAGGCAGGCGGAAUUCGUGGUGUAGCGGUGAAAUGCGUAGAUAUUAGGAAGAACACCGAUGGCGAAGGCAGCCUGCUGGGCUUUUACUGACGCUGAGGCUCGAAAGUGUGGGGAGCGAACAGGAUUAGAUACCCGGGUAGUC
Molecule: ribosomal RNA, 440 nt
Filed under: uncultured bacterium
Lineage: Bacteria
Description: partial 16S ribosomal RNA
Rfam family: Bacterial small subunit ribosomal RNA
Source: RNAcentral